GAUGAACGCUGGCGGCGUGCCUAAUACAUGCAAGUCGAGCGAACAGACGAGGAGCUUGCUCCUCUGACGUUAGCGGCGGACGGGUGAGUAACACGUGGAUAACCUACCUAUAAGACUGGGAUAACUUCGGGAAACCGGAGCUAAUACCGGAUAAUAUAUUGAACCGCAUGGUUCAAUAGUGAAAGACGGUUUUGCUGUUACUUAUAGAUGGAUCCGCGCCGCAUUAGCUAGUUGGUAAGGUAACGGCUUACCAAGGCAACGAUGCGUAGCCGACCUGAGAGGGUGAUCGGCCACACUGGAACUGAGACACGGUCCAGACUCCUACGGGAGGCAGCAGUAGGGAAUCUUCCGCAAUGGGCGAAAGCCUGACGGAGCAACGCCGCGUGAAUGAUGAAGGUCUUCGGAUCGUAAAACUCUGUUAUUAGGGAAGAACAAAUGUGUAAGUAACUAUGCACGUCUUGACGGUACCUAAUCAGAAAGCCACGGCUAACUACGUG
This 497-nucleotide ribosomal RNA is filed under the name uncultured bacterium. RNAcentral describes it as "partial 16S ribosomal RNA". It matches the Rfam family "Bacterial small subunit ribosomal RNA", at positions 28 to 507 of the family's 1533-position model. The record is from RNAcentral.